UGCCAGCAGCCGCGGUAAUACGAAGGGGCCUAGCGUAGUUCGGAAUUACUGGGCUUAAAGAGUUCGUAGGUGGUUGAAAAAGUUGGUGGUGAAAUCCCAGAGCUUAACUCUGGAACUGCCCUCAAAACUUUUCAGCUAGAGUUUGAUAGAGGAAAGCAGAAUUUCUAGUGUAGAGGUGAAAUUCGUAGAUAUUAGAAAGAAUACCAAUUGCGAAGGCAGCUUUCUGGAUCAUUACUGACACUGAGGAACGAAAGCAUGGGUAGCGAAGAGGAUUAGAUA
RNAcentral lists this ribosomal RNA (279 nucleotides) under uncultured bacterium. RNAcentral's name for it is "partial 16S ribosomal RNA". It matches the Rfam family "Bacterial small subunit ribosomal RNA", at positions 506 to 784 of the family's 1533-position model. The record is from RNAcentral.